UCAGAUUGAACGCUGGCGGCAGGCCUAACACAUGCAAGUCGAGCGGUAGCACAGAGAGCUUGCUCUCGGGUGACGAGCGGCGGACGGGUGAGUAAUGUCUGGGAAACUGCCUGAUGGAGGGGGAUAACUACUGGAAACGGUAGCUAAUACCGCAUAACGUCGCAAGACCAAAGUGGGGGACCUUCGGGCCUCAUGCCAUCAGAUGUGCCCAGAUGGGAUUAGCUAGUAGGUGGGGUAACGGCUCACCUAGGCGACGAUCCCUAGCUGGUCUGAGAGGAUGACCAGCCACACUGGAACUGAGACACGGUCCAGACUCCUACGGGAGGCAGCAGUGGGGAAUAUUGCACAAUGGGCGCAAGCCUGAUGCAGCCAUGCCGCGUGUGUGAAGAAGGCCUUCGGGUUGUAAAGCACUUUCAGCGGGGAGGAAGGCGUUAAGGUUAAUAACCUUGGCGAUUGACGUUACCCGCAGAAGAAGCACCGGCUAACUCCGUGCCAGCAGCCGCGGUAAUACGGAGGGUGCAAGCGUUAAUCGGAAUUACUGGGCGUAAAGCGCACGCAGGCGGUCUGUCAAGUCGGAUGUGAAAUCCCCGGGCUCAACCUGGGAACUGCAUUCGAAACUGGCAGGCUAGAGUCUUGUAGAGGGGGGUAGAAUUCCAGGUGUAGCGGUGAAAUGCGUAGAGAUCUGGAGGAAUACCGGUGGCGAAGGCGGCCCCCUGGACAAAGACUGACGCUCAGGUGCGAAAGCGUGGGGAGCAAACAGGAUUAGAUACCCUGGUAGUCCACGCCGUAAACGAUGUCGAUUUGGAGGUUGUGCCCUUGAGGCGUGGCUUCCGGAGCUAACGCGUUAAAUCGACCGCCUGGGGAGUACGGCCGCAAGGUUAAAACUCAAAUGAAUUGACGGGGGCCCGCACAAGCGGUGGAGCAUGUGGUUUAAUUCGAUGCAACGCGAAGAACCUUACCUGGUCUUGACAUCCACAGAACUUUCCAGAGAUGGAUUGGUGCCUUCGGGAACUGUGAGACAGGUGCUGCAUGGCUGUCGUCAGCUCGUGUUGUGAAAUGUUGGGUUAAGUCCCGCAACGAGCGCAACCCUUAUCCUUUGUUGCCAGCGGUUAGGCCGGGAACUCAAAGGAGACUGCCAGUGAUAAACUGGAGGAAGGUGGGGAUGACGUCAAGUCAUCAUGGCCCUUACGACCAGGGCUACACACGUGCUACAAUGGCAUAUACAAAGAGAAGCGACCUCGCGAGAGCAAGCGGACCUCAUAAAGUAUGUCGUAGUCCGGAUUGGAGUCUGCAACUCGACUCCAUGAAGUCGGAAUCGCUAGUAAUCGUAGAUCAGAAUGCUACGGUGAAUACGUUCCCGGGCCUUGUACACACCGCCCGUCACACCAUGGGAGUGGGUUGCAAAAGAAGUAGGUAGCUUAACCUUCGGGAGGGCGCUUACCACUUUGUGAUUCAUGACUGGGGUGAAGUCGUA
RNAcentral lists this ribosomal RNA (1474 nucleotides) under Klebsiella pneumoniae. Its description in RNAcentral is "bacterial SSU rRNA". It matches the Rfam family "Bacterial small subunit ribosomal RNA". The record is from RNAcentral. Lineage: Bacteria; Pseudomonadati; Pseudomonadota; Gammaproteobacteria; Enterobacterales; Enterobacteriaceae.